This 175-nucleotide microRNA precursor is filed under the name Oryza glumipatula. RNAcentral's name for it is "MIR812 microRNA precursor family". It matches the Rfam family "MIR812 microRNA precursor family", at positions 1 to 178 of the family's 205-position model. Lineage: Eukaryota; Viridiplantae; Streptophyta; Magnoliopsida; Poales; Poaceae. The record is from Rfam by way of RNAcentral.
AAAAAAAAAACCCGUAGAUUCCCGUGCCAACGUUUGACUGUCCGUCUUAUAUGAAAUUUUUUUAUAAUUAGUAUUUUCAUUGUUGUUUAAUGAUAUAACAUGAUUAAUACUUUAUGCGUGACUUAUCUUUUUAAUUUUUUUUCAUAACUUUUUUAAAUAAGACGACUAAGGUUUG